Molecule: ribosomal RNA, 302 nt
Filed under: uncultured bacterium
Lineage: Bacteria
Description: bacterial SSU rRNA
Rfam family: Bacterial small subunit ribosomal RNA
Source: RNAcentral
GAUGAACGCUAGCUACAGGCUUAACACAUGCAAGUCGAGGGGCAGCAUGAACUUAGCUUGCUAAGUUUGAUGGCGACCGGCGCACGGGUGAGUAACACGUAUCCAACCUUCCGUUUACUCAGGGAUAGCCUUUCGAAAGAAAGAUUAAUACCUGAUAGUAUGGUGAGAUUGCAUGGUUUCAUUAUUAAAGGAUUCCGUAAAGGAUGGGGAUGCGUUCCAUUAGGUUGUUGGUGAGGUAACGGCUCACCAAAGCCUUCGAUGGAUAGGGGUUCGUUGAGAGGAAAGGGUACCCCCGACCCAAC